GGGCGCUUGGUCUAGGGGUAUGAUUUUCGCUUCGCAUCAAUUGAUGAUAUUGUGAAAGGUCGUGGGUUCAAUUCCCACAGCGUCCA
Didymella exigua CBS 183.55 is the source of this 86-nucleotide non-coding RNA. The record is from the annotation of a RefSeq genome assembly. NCBI's taxonomy places the organism in Eukaryota, Fungi, Ascomycota, Dothideomycetes, Pleosporales, Didymellaceae.